AGUCAGAAUCCGGGCCAGAAGCGACGCGUGUCCGCCGCUCGUUUGCCGACCAGCAGUAGGGCCCUCCGGCCCCCAAAGGCACGUGUCGUGGCUAAGCCCUCGCGGCGGACGAGCCGCGCGGGCCGCCUUGAAUUACAAUUUCCACCGGGCGGCGGACUGAAUCCUUUGCAGACGACUUAAAUACGCGACGGGGUAUUGUAAGUGGCAGAGUGGCCUUGCUGCCACGAUCCACUGAGAUUCAGCCCUUCGUCGCUCCGAUUCGU
Molecule: non-coding RNA, 263 nt
Organism: Ricinus communis (castor bean)
Lineage: Eukaryota; Viridiplantae; Streptophyta; Magnoliopsida; Malpighiales; Euphorbiaceae
Source: Rfam